ACACUUUUUAAACAAUACUACUAUACAUGCAGCGCUGCAAUAAACAAAAAUAAGAUUUAUUUUUACUGUGUCCAAACUGUGCAUUCAAUAUAGUGACUAAAUGUGGUCACUCAGUGGGACUGCUAUACCCACUAUAUACAACUUACCGAUAAAAUGGGACUUUAACCCAGAAAAUAUAAAUGUUUCUCUUAUACAACUUAUCAUGGGACUCUAACC
This is a non-coding RNA of Pelobates cultripes (western spadefoot toad), 216 nucleotides long. NCBI's taxonomy places the organism in Eukaryota, Metazoa, Chordata, Amphibia, Anura, Pelobatidae. The record is from the annotation of a GenBank genome assembly.